RNAcentral lists this ribosomal RNA (2826 nucleotides) under Mallomonas elongata. RNAcentral describes it as "bacterial LSU rRNA". It matches the Rfam family "Bacterial large subunit ribosomal RNA". Lineage: Eukaryota; Synurophyceae; Synurales; Mallomonadaceae. The record is from RNAcentral.
GUGAAGAAGGACGUGGCUACCGGCGAAACGUUUCGGGGAGUUGGAAGUAAGCUUUGAUCCGAAAGUAUCCGAAUGAGGAAACUCAAUAACUUCUUACUGAAUCUAUAAGUAAAGAAAGAGCAAACCUAGGGAACUGAAACAUCUUAGUACCUAGAGGAAAAGAAAGUAAAAACGAUUCCCUGAGUAGUGGCGAACGAAACGGGAAGAGCCUAAACUUUUUAAGAUUGUAUAAUUUUGAAAAGGGUUGUGGGAAGAAUAAGUUUUUCGUUUUUUAUUUUAUAAAAUAACGAAAAAUAAAAAAGAAACUCGAGCAAAAGCUAAGUCUUUUUAAGAAAUUAGGUGAAAUAACUGGAAAGUUAUACCAAAGAAAGUGAUAGUCUUGUAACCAAAAAUUUCUUUACUAUAAUUUAUUCCCGAGUAGCAUGGGGCACGUGGAAUCCCGUGUGAAUCUGCGAGGACCACCUCGUAAGGCUAAAUAUUCCUGAAUGUCCGAUAGCGUAUAGUACCGCGAGGGAAAGGUGAAAAGAACCCCGGGAGGGGAGUGAAAUAGAACGUGAAAUUGCAAGCCCACAAACAGAAAGAGAACGACUUAGCGUUUAAUUUCGUGCCUGUUGAAGAAUGUUCCGGCGACUUAUAGUUAGUGGCAGGUUAAGAGAGAGAUCUCGGAGCCAGAGUGAAAGCGAGCUUGAAUAGAGCGUUCGUCACUAAUUAUAGACCCGAACCCGGUUGAUCUAACCAUGGCCAGGAUGAAACUUAGGUAAUACUAAGUGGAGGUCCGAACCGACUGAUGUUGAAAAAUCAGCGGAUGAGUUGUGGUUAGGGGUGAAAUGCCAAUCGAAACCGGAGCUAGCUGGUUCUCCCCGAAAUGUAUUUAGGUGCAGCGGUUAAUAUUAUAGCGUAGGGGUAAAGCACUGUUUCGGUGCGGGCUGGUAAUUCGGUACCAAAUCGAGGCAAACUCUGAAUACUACGUGCACAGUUAACCAGUAAGACUAUGGGGGAUAAGCUUCAUAGUCAAGAGGGAAACAGCCCAGAUCACCAGCUAAGGCCCCUAAAUAAUGACUAAGUGAUAAAGGAAGUGGAAAGGCUUAGACAACCAGGAGGUUUGCUUAGAAGCAGCAAUCCUUUAAAAAGUGCGUAAUAGCUUACUGGUCUAGCAAUUCUGCGCCGAAAACUUAUGGGACUAAGUCAUUUGCCGAAGCUGUGAGAUAGAAAAAAAUUUUCUAUCGGUAGGGGAGCGUUCUGUUGUAGAGUGAAGUAUUAGCGAAAGCGGGUAUGGACGAAACAGAAGUGAGAAUGUCGGAUUGAGUAGCGAAAACAUUGGUGAGAAUCCAAUGCUCCGAAAACCUAAGGUUUCCUCCGCAAGGCUCGUCCACGGAGGGUUAGUCAGGACCUAAGAUGAGGCUGAGAAGCGUAGUCGAUGGAGAAUUGGUCAAUAUUCCAAUACUCGGUUCUAGCAGGUAUCGAGGGACGAAGAAGGCUAAACUAGCCAGAUAUUGGUUACUGGUUUAAGUAGUUAAUUUGAAUAAAAAAUUAUAAAAUGAACUCCGUUCAAAAAAAAAUUCUCUAGUUCAAAUUAUUUAUGAGGUGUUGAAGGUUAGAGAAAAUAAUCUGAGCUGAAAUACGAAUACAAGAUUUUUAAAAUCAAAGUAGUUGAUGUCAUACUUCCAAGAAAAGCUCGCUAUGCCUUAUGCUAGAAUCACCUGUACCAGAAACCGACACAGGUAGGUAGGUAGAGAAUACCAAGGAGCGCGGGAGAACCCUCCUUAAGGAACUCGGCAAAAUAGCUCUGUAACUUCGGAAGAAAGAGUGCCUUUUAGGCUGCAAUAUCAAGUUCCAAGCAACUGUUUAGCAAAAACACAGGUCUCCGCAAAGUGGUAACACGACGUAUGGGGGCUGACGCCUGCCCAGUGCUGGAAGGUUAAAGAAGUCGGUUAGCGCAAGCAAAGCUGGUAACUGAAGCCCCAGUGAACGGCGGCCGUAACUAUAACGGUCCUAAGGUAGCGAAAUUCCUUGUCAGGUAAGUUCUGACCCGCACGAAUGGCGUAAUGAUUUGGAAGCUGUCUCGAGGAGGGACUCGGUGAAAUAGAACUAGCUGUGAAGAUGCGGCUUACCUGCGCCUGGACAGUAAGACCCUAUGAAGCUUUACUGUAUCCUGAAAUUGAAUUUCGAUUUUAUUUGCGCAGAAUAGGUGGGAGACGUUGAAACCCUUCUUUUGGGAAGGGUGGAGUCAUUAGUGAGAUACCACUCUGAUAAAAUUAAAAUUCUAACUUCAUACCGUAAGCCGGUUGAAAAACAGUUUCAGGUGGGCAGUUUGACUGGGGCGGUCGCCUCCCAAAAGGUAACGGAGGCGUACAAAGGUUUCCUCAGAUCGGUCAGAAAUCGAUCUUUGAGUGCAAAGGCAAAAGGAAGCUUAACUGUGAGACAAACAAGUCGAGCAGAGACGAAAGUCGGUCUUAGUGAUCUGACGAUACUGUGUGGAAAGGUCGUCACUCAACGGAUAAAAGUUACUCUAGGGAUAACAGGCUGAUCUCCCCCAAGAGUUCCUAUCGACGGGGAGGUUUGGCACCUCGAUGUCGGCUCAUCGCAUCCUGGGGCGGAAGUACGUCCCAAGGGUUGGGCUGUUCGCCCAUUAAAGCGGUACGUGAGCUGGGUUCAGAACGUCGCGAGACAGUUCGGUCCAUAUCCGGCGUGGGCGUUAGAGUAUUGAGAGUGACCUUUCUCUAGUACGAGAGGACCGAGAAAGAUGUACCGCUGGUGUACCAGUUCUUGUGCCAACAGGAAAUGCUGGGUAGCUAAGUACAGUUAGGAUAACCGCUGAAAGCAUCU